Molecule: ribosomal RNA, 247 nt
Filed under: uncultured euryarchaeote
Lineage: Archaea; Methanobacteriati; Methanobacteriota
Description: partial 16S ribosomal RNA
Rfam family: Archaeal small subunit ribosomal RNA
Source: RNAcentral
GGCGGCUCGAGUGGUGGCCACUAUUACUGGGCUUAAAGCGUUCGUAGCUGGUUUGUUAAGUCUCUGGGGAAAUCUUCCGGCUUAACCGGAAGGCGUCUCAGGGAUACUGUCAGACUUGGGACCGGGAGAGGUGAGAGGUACUUUAGGGGUAGGAGUGAAAUCCUGUAAUCCUUGAGGGACCACCUGUGGCGAAGGCGUCUCACCAGAACGGCUCCGACAGUGAGGGACGAAAGCUGGGGAGCAAACC